RNAcentral lists this ribosomal RNA (253 nucleotides) under uncultured bacterium. RNAcentral's name for it is "partial 16S ribosomal RNA". It matches the Rfam family "Bacterial small subunit ribosomal RNA", at positions 524 to 776 of the family's 1533-position model. The record is from RNAcentral.
UACGGAGGGGGCUAGCGUUGUUCGGAAUUACUGGGCGUAAAGCGCACGUAGGCGGCUUUGUAAGUUAGAGGUGAAAGCCCGGGGCUCAACUCCGGAAUUGCCUUUAAGACUGCAUCGCUAGAAUUGUGGAGAGGUAAGUGGAAUUCCGAGUGUAGAGGUGAAAUUCGUAGAUAUUCGGAAGAACACCAGUGGCGAAGGCGGCUCACUGGCCCGGUACUGACGCUGAGACGCGAAAGCGUGGGGAGCAAACAGG